UUCCCCUCCCUCUCUUUUCAAUCUUUACUACACUUGGUCAAAGAAUUAGCUUGUGCAAUGGCCUAGACAUGAGAGGAUUUAAGUAAUUUACAAUUUUAGGGUUCAUGAGAAGAUUCGCGGAUGGAAAGUUAGCCCAAGUGACGUUAAAGAACAAACAAAUGAAGUCCAAGUAAGUAAUGUUGAAAAAAGCUAAUAUGAGAC
Molecule: long non-coding RNA, 201 nt
Filed under: Elaeis guineensis (African oil palm)
Lineage: Eukaryota; Viridiplantae; Streptophyta; Magnoliopsida; Arecales; Arecaceae
Description: long non-coding RNA (EGUI_LNC073963)
Source: RNAcentral